This 86-nucleotide transfer RNA is filed under the name Candidatus Kentrum sp. TC. RNAcentral describes it as "Candidatus Kentron sp. TC tRNA_Ser_GCT". It matches the Rfam family "tRNA". Rfam says of the family: Transfer RNA (tRNA) molecules are approximately 80 nucleotides in length. Their secondary structure includes four short double-helical elements and three loops (D, anti-codon, and T loops). The record is from RNAcentral. Lineage: Bacteria; Pseudomonadati; Pseudomonadota; Gammaproteobacteria.
GGAGAGAUGGCCGAGCGGCUGAAGGCGCUCCCCUGCUAAGGGAGUAUGGGGUGUACCCAUCGUGGGUUCGAAUCCCACUCUCUCCG